Y RNA from Callithrix jacchus (white-tufted-ear marmoset), 113 nucleotides. It matches the Rfam family "Y RNA". Rfam says of the family: Y RNAs are components of the Ro ribonucleoprotein particle (Ro RNP), in association with Ro60 and La proteins. The Y RNAs and Ro60 and La proteins are well conserved, but the function of the Ro RNP is not known. In humans the RNA component can be one of four small RNAs -- hY1, hY3, hY4 and hY5. The record is from Ensembl. Lineage: Eukaryota; Metazoa; Chordata; Mammalia; Primates; Cebidae.
GGCUCGUCUGAAGGUAGUGAGUUAUCUCAAUUGAUUGUUCACAGUCAGUUACAGAUUGAACUCCUUGUUCUACUCUUUCCCCGCUUCUCACUACUGCACUUGACUAGUCUUUA